UAUGAAGAACGCAGCGAAAUGCGAUAAGUAAUGUGAAUUGCAGAAUUCAGUGAAUCAUCGAAUCUUUGAACGCACAUUGCGCCCCUUGGUAUUCCGAGGGGCAUGCCUGUUCGAGCGUCAUUACACCACUCAAGCUAUGCUUGGUAUUGGGCGUCGUCCUUAGUUGGGCGCGCCUUAAAGACCUCGGCGAGGCCACUCCGGCUUUAGGCGUAGUAGAAUUUAUUCGAACGUCUGUCAAAGGAGAGGAACUCUGCCGACUGAAACCUUUAUUUUUCUAGGUUGACCUCGGAUCAGGUAGGGAUACCCGCUGAACUUAAGCAUAUCAAUAAGCGGAGGA
RNAcentral lists this unclassified non-coding RNA (337 nucleotides) under soil metagenome. Its description in RNAcentral is "partial contains 5.8S ribosomal RNA, internal transcribed spacer 2, and large subunit ribosomal RNA". The stretch from base 2 to 120 matches the Rfam family "5.8S ribosomal RNA", at positions 36 to 154 of the family's 154-position model. The record is from RNAcentral.